UACAAUCGAAAACCCAAUUAAAUUAACAUACAAUCCAAAAUGCAAUAUAAGAAGCAAUAAUCUACAAAUCAUAUGUGAGGAUACUAAACUUAUAACCAUAUUUCAAAAACAACCGAUGUCCAACCAUUAAAACACCUGCUAAGUGUUAUAUUUGACUCUGGAGUCUGGAUAUUUCACACAAUGACUAUUAAUAAAUAUAUUACAUCAAUAUCAAUAUAUUUCAUAAAAUCCCUAAAGGAAGAAAUUGGGAUUUAUGUCCCAAAGCCUGAGAAACUCUUUAAUACUUCCAAAUGUGUGUCUCUUAUUGAUAUUCCUGCAUAUGAAAUUAAUGUUAGCAACAAAUUGGAAAUAAAAUUCAUGAUCAAGC
This 367-nucleotide long non-coding RNA is filed under the name Trifolium pratense (red clover). Its description in RNAcentral is "long non-coding RNA (TPRA_LNC012252)". Lineage: Eukaryota; Viridiplantae; Streptophyta; Magnoliopsida; Fabales; Fabaceae. The record is from RNAcentral.